RNAcentral lists this long non-coding RNA (1263 nucleotides) under Homo sapiens (human). RNAcentral describes it as "HSALNT0333419". The record is from RNAcentral. Lineage: Eukaryota; Metazoa; Chordata; Mammalia; Primates; Hominidae.
UCCUCAUUACAGUGCCUUCUACUCAUUACUGCACAUUUACUAUAAUUAGGAUCAAGAUGUUUCUGGGCCCAGCAAAUUAUCGAGCCUCAGGGAGAGGGCAGAGUUGUACCCAGGGAUUGACAUUGUACAGAAGGACCCCUUUUCCUUUGGCAAAGUCAGAAAUUAUGACAUUGACAUUGUGACACCAGUGGGAGUUGCCCAUGAGCACUGGGACUUGGGGAAAUAUAAACAGGCCCUGGUUGGUGCUGCUCUGCCAGAACAGCCACCCAGAGGCAUGCUGCACAGACUCCCCAGGUGCAGUGGCUUAUGCCUGUAAUCCCAGCACUUUGGAAGUCCGAGGCAGGUGGAUCACAAGGUCAGGAGUUCAACACCAGCCUGGCCAACAUGAAGAAAGACUGUCUCUACUAAUAAUACAAAAAUUAGCUGGGCAUGGUGCGUGCCUGUAAUCCCAGCUACUCGGGAGGCUGAAGCAGGAGAAUUGCUUGAACCCAGGAGGUGGAGAUUGCAGUGAGCCAAGAUCGCACCUCUUCACUCCAGCCUGGGCAACAGAGCAAGACUCCAUCUCGAAAAAAAAUUAAAAAAAAAAAAAGUGUUAUCUUCAAUGUAGAAGUAUUAAUAGGUGGGGCCCUUAAGAGGUGAUUGGAUCAUGAGGGCUCUGUGUUCGUGAAUGGAUUAAUCCAUUCAUAGAUUAAUGAGUGAAUGGAUUAUGUGUUAUCAUGGGAUUAGGCCUGCUGGCUUUAUAAGAAGAGGAAGAGAAACCCAAGCUAGCAUGCUUAACCCCCUGGUCACGUAAUGCCCUGCACCACCUUAGGACUCUGCAGAAAGUUUCCACCAGCAAAAAGUGUUCAUCAGAUGUGGCCAUUUGACCUUGGAUUUCUCAGUGUCCAUAAUUAUGAGAAAUAAAUUGCUUUUCUUAUAAAGUACCCAGUUUCUGGUAUUCUGUUAUGAGCAAGAGAAAACAGACUAAAACAGUGAAGUUGGUAGAAUCAGGUAGAUGGCGUAUAAUGCAGGACAAUGUGUUGUUAUAAAGCCAGGAUACCCCUUGGGUUUUGAUUCUUCAGAUGUGCCUACUUCCCCCAACCAUGUUAUGAAAUAGCAUGAAAGACUUUACCAGAAGCCAAGGCCAUGCCCUUGAACUUCCCAGCCUGAAAUACUACAAGCUAAAUAAACUUCUUUUCUUGAUAAACUAUCCAGUCUCAGGCAUUCUGUUAUAGCAAUUCAGAACAAACUAGUUAUCCUCACUUUGUUUGUUUUUCUCAAAAG